CCGGGAAAGGCCCGGGCAGGCCGGGUGGGGCACCGGGACGGCCUCCCUGGGGAAGGAAGGGGUCGCAGCACCAGCCUGGCAGAGUUCCAGAAGCGUCUGGGGAAGGCUCUCCAGCGCACGGCCUUGGCUCCAAGACUUGUGUUCUUCCUGGCUCUGCUGACCAUCCAGCCCUGACUGCAGCACUUUGACCAGGCCAACAUGGACACAGCCAAAUGGACAGAAGUGUGUGAGGAAUAUCUGCAUCAUGAGGUGACCUGGCUGCUGCAGGUGAUAGAGGGAAAGAGGGGCACCGUGGAAGCCCCACUCCUUUCUGAAGUGCAGCAGCAGUGGCUGCUUUAAGAUGCUGUAUCAGCCCUGGUCCGGGUCACUGUGGGCUGCUGGCUGGACAGACAAAGGAAGCAUGCCUCUGCCAGCUACAGGGAGCAGGACAGCUGCAGCAGCAAGGAGGAGGACAAUGACCAGAAGUUCAAAGGUGCCCACAAUGGUCUCAGAUCUUUGUGAUCACCACAUCCAUCACCAAUGGAAACAUUCAAGCUAAGGCUGGAGGGGGCUGUGGGUAACAUGAUUUAGUUUAGAGUGCCCCUCCUCAUUGGGGCAAUGAUCUUUAGAGAUCCCUUCUGACCCCAGCUAUUCUGUGAUUCUAAAGCAGGACCUACCUAGCAGUUGAAGCAUGGACCAGCGUGAUAGAAUCAAGACCGGUAAUUUUAUCAUCUUCUAAGAUAAUACUAUGCAGUUCACCAAAAUGAUGAUCCUAGCCCAAUCCACAAAGACAAUAAACAGCAUAGGGGAGACAUCCUGCAAGAAAGGUAUUGCAUAACACAGCCCUGAUAACAAGUGAUUUUUAUUUAUUUUCUUUUGCUCUGAAAGGCAAUAAAUCAACCUUGUCACUAACAACUGUUAAACCAAUGUGAUGAAUUGUC
Melospiza melodia melodia is the source of this 920-nucleotide long non-coding RNA. RefSeq lists it as uncharacterized. Lineage: Eukaryota; Metazoa; Chordata; Aves; Passeriformes; Passerellidae. The transcript is spliced from 2 exons. The record is from RefSeq and is a predicted model, not a curated record.